GGGCCCGAUGGAGUCCUUGUGUUGUUAACAAGGCUCUCAUCUUGAUCCACCAUAGCAAAAAAUAAUUUCUAUCAUUGAACAACUCCAUGUGAUACUUGAUACCGGACUUCGAUGUCAACAUCCCAAAUCAAUCACUAAUCACCACCAAAAUAGAUCGCAAGCAACCUCAAGCCCUAAAGCUCUAAAUGCCAAUUUGUUAUGACCUAAGCGGAACUAAGGCAUAUCUAGGAUUAUGGUAUUGAAUAGAUAAUCACAAGAGUGACAACAAGAAAUAAACAAUAACUAUACAACACAAAAGAUUUACGUGUUUCAGCUUUUUGAUCCUACAUCCAUGGGCGAGAGAAAAAGAAAAUUCACUAUUGAAAAUAUAAAGUACAAGGAGAUGGAACACUCACACUCAAACCCAAGAGCCCAAAUGCACCC
This 423-nucleotide long non-coding RNA is filed under the name Elaeis guineensis (African oil palm). Its description in RNAcentral is "long non-coding RNA (EGUI_LNC014348)". Lineage: Eukaryota; Viridiplantae; Streptophyta; Magnoliopsida; Arecales; Arecaceae. The record is from RNAcentral.